Molecule: long non-coding RNA, 349 nt
Organism: Homo sapiens (human)
Lineage: Eukaryota; Metazoa; Chordata; Mammalia; Primates; Hominidae
Source: Ensembl
AGUCCUAUUCUGCAAGCGCAGCGCUGCAAAAAGCCUGCGGCGCUCUGAGGCGCCUGGUCCUGGGGACCUCUUUCCACUCUUUACUCUCAAGAUAGGAGGAUGGGUCUGGGGGAUUGUUUUUGGUUUUCUGGUUUUGUUUUACUCUGGUUUGGUCGGUUUUGUAUUUUUCUAUUUUUCCUUUUUUUCCCUUUUUUCUUUUUUGAUUUUUCUUUCCCGUUAUUCUCCCAGCCAAAAGCUACCUUCGACCCUUUUGAUUUGAUGUAGCAAAGAGUGUGUGUCCAGAUUAUCUGAAAUUGACACUGAAGAAGUUCUCAGACUCACUAGAAUCAGAAACACCUCUAUCCAAAAA